CCUACGGGUGGCAGCAGUGAGGAAUAUUGGUCAAUGGACGAGAGCCUGAACCAGCCAAGUCGCGUGAAGGAUGACUGCCCUCUGGGUUGUAAACUUCUUUUAUAAAGGAAUAAAACGAGGCACGUGUGCCUUUUUGCAUGUACUUUAUGAAUAAGGAUCGGCUCACUCCGUGCCAGCAGCCGCGGUAAUACGGAGGAUCCGAGCGUUAUCCGGCUUUAUUGGGUUUAAAGGGAGAGUAGAUGGGUUGUUAAGUCAGUUGUGAAAGUUUGGGGCUCAACCGUAAAAUUGCAAUUGAUACUGGCAGGCUUGAGUACAGUUGAGGUAGGCGGAAUUCGUGGUGUAGCGGUGAAAUGCUUAGAUAUCACGAAGAACCCCGAUGGCGAAGGCAGCUUACUAAACUGUGACUGACAUUGAGGCUCGAAAGUGUGGGUAGCAAACAGGAUUAGAUACCCCGGUAAUC
Molecule: ribosomal RNA, 460 nt
Filed under: uncultured bacterium
Lineage: Bacteria
Description: partial 16S ribosomal RNA
Rfam family: Bacterial small subunit ribosomal RNA
Source: RNAcentral